UACAGAGGGUGCGAGCGUUAAUCGGAAUUACUGGGCGUAAAGCGUGCGUAGACGGCUAUCUAAGUCGGGUGUGAAAGCCCCGGGCUCAACCUGGGAAUUGCAUUCGAGACUGAAUAGCUAGGGUGCGGUAGAGGGAAGCGGAAUUUCCGGUGUAGCGGUGAAAUGCGUAGAUAUCUGGAGGAACACCGGUGGCGAAGGCGGCAUCCUGGACCGGUAUUGACACUGAGGCGCGAAAGCCAGGGGAGCAAACGGG
RNAcentral lists this ribosomal RNA (253 nucleotides) under uncultured bacterium. RNAcentral's name for it is "partial 16S ribosomal RNA". It matches the Rfam family "Bacterial small subunit ribosomal RNA", at positions 524 to 776 of the family's 1533-position model. The record is from RNAcentral.